GUAAUGUCAGUGUGUAUAGUUGGUGUUUGCAUGUGGAUGUGUAUUGUCAGUAUGUAUGUAUAUUAGCAUUUCUGCAUGUGUAAUGUCAGUAUGUAUGUAUAUAAGUGUUUUUAUGUGUAAUGACCUCCUGGUACACCGGCUAAGUACCUCCGUUACUUUCUCCACUAUUUUCAGACCAUCUACUACUGCCUUGCCGAAACACUUGGAGCCGUUGGGAUACUCAUCUUGGCGUAAUCAGAUCAGCAUUCGGAAAUGAAUUAUAGCAGUGAUUAUAGCCGUUACCCCACACCAUGAGUCGAGACUACAUGUAGGGGUUCAAAAGCAGAUCUGCCUUUACUGCUGCCAGGCAGGGCUAUUUAUACCAGACAGAGGUCUUUAGCAAACAAUAAUACAAAAAACGUUAAAUACAGUUCCCCAUCAAGUCCUCCUCCCAAAAUCCCUUGCGUUCCUGCUGAAACAGCCCUCAGCCCCACCAAAACAAGGAUUCCUUUGCACUGAUUGUAAGGAAACCUAGUAUAUCCAAUCCUCAUUCGGUAGUUUCCUUCCGAACGGCCAGAGCAUCAGUGAUUAUAACUCUCCGUUCGGCAGAUGAAAUAAACAAAAUCCAUACGAAUACAAUAGCUUUACAAGAUGAUUCCCUUAAUAAAGCAUCCGAAUACCCAAAGAUCAGCCGGAGUCUAGAAGAAGGGUGCAACAGAACUGGCUUUUAAUUAUCACACACUGGCUUUUAUGCAAGUCCCCGUGCAAGGGGACAUCCCACAGGGACCAAUCAGUUACAAGGAAAACAUACAAUUUGGGUACUUUUGCCAGUCCAUUUAGUAGCAAAAAACAAAUAAUUCCACGAACGGUUUCCCCUGGUUCUUAGCAGCGAUUGUUCCCCUCAUACGAAUGAACAAAAGUACCGAACAGCGCUCUUCUAGCUGUUCGGGAAAUAAAGAUCCAGCGUUCGUAUGUUGAGACCAGUGUUCGGGAAGUCGAGUCUCCGAUUUUAGUUCCAGACACUCGACGACCAAGUCCCGCUGCCUUUGUUCGCACAAAAAAAGAUGGCCGCCGUUUUCACAGCCACAUGGCGUUCGGCAAUACGAACGACGACCGCAGAGGUAGAAGGUUCAAUUGAGGCAUGCUUUAAAGUUAAUGAGCCAGGGUGUGGUCUCUGUUCGGUAGUUACAUCUACCAAAUGCAAAGAGGAGAAAUACCGAACAUAAAGAGGGAUUUCUUCACACUCAUGUCCUGACAACCCGCUCGGAGUGAUUGCAUCACUGUUAACAAUAGUUCUUGUUUGCCUCUCGAACAAAAGUGUCAUUAUGUGUGUAUAUCUGUGAGUGAGUGUAUGUAAUGUCAGUAUGUGUGUAUAUCUGUGUGUGUGUGUGUAUGUACUGUCAGUAUGUGCCUAUAUCAGUGUUUGUAAUAUCACUAAGCAUGUAUAUCUGUGUAUGUAAUGUCAGUUUGUGUGUAUAUCUCUGUGUGUGUAUGUAGUAUCUCUGUGUGUGUAUGUCGUUAUUUGUGUGUAUGAGUAAUGUCAGUACGUGUAUAUCAGUGUGUGUGUGUGUGUGUGUGUGUGUAAGGUCAGUAUGUGAUUGUCGUAUUUGUGUGUGUGUGUCUGUGUAUGUAAGGUCAGUAUGUGAUUGUCGGUGUUUGUGUGUAUGUGUAAAAUACACAUGUGAAAUAAUAGGGGGGGAUUUAGACCAACCAUGGGCAUUGGGUUGGGGGCUUUUAAUUUAAACAAUUUAGAUAGACAGAUCACUGUACGCCCCACUUUCUGUAACUUGUGCGCAGGUUGGACAUCGAAAGCAGUAAAAUUAGUUCCUCCUGUAAUGUCAUUGAAGCUGGGGACAGCCGUAGUAGCCAUUGUUUUAUUUGUAGUUUAUGUAAAUCUCUGCAGUUAAAAGUCGCUGUAUAGCGGAAUGCUAUUCAAUCUAAGCUGUGGAACCAGAUUCAAAAUCAGCGUUUGGUAAUUAGUUUUCUUUUUAUAUAAAUUAAACGAUCCUUUAUGAAUUUCCCGUUACCUGCAAAAUGUAAGAAAACAUCGAACACGGUUUGGCCAUGUAUUUAUCUUGAAUAUUUACAUAUUUAUUUUGAAGUGUUUUUUUCAGGAAGGAAUUAAUCUCUCUCUCUGUCCUAAGGUGAUCGAGUUUUACUUCCUGCAAGAAAUGUUUGUAUUCUGAGGAUUUAACACAGUGCUGAUGGUGGGAGAGCAGUCAGAAUGAAGGGUGGGGCACGCAGGGGGAAAGUCAAGACUCUCCAGCCACCAAAACAACUUUUAUUCAUUUUAUAGCUCCUCACCUAAAAUGCUAGCUAUAUAUUUUUUUCUUGCCCAAUAUUUUUUAUUAAGUUAGCCAAAAAAACUCAAAUUUCCUUCUUGCUGAAUACUGCAUACUGCUUCCUGUCUGACCUUCCCUCCUAACCUGCACUGUCUAAAAACAUAGGUUUUCAUCACACAAACAAGCACAGCAAAGCUUUCUGGGAGUUGUAGUUAAGCUCCCAGAAUUCUAAUAACUCAACUACAAGACCCAGAAACCCUUGCUCUGAGCAGUAAUGAGUUUGGGUUAAACAUGUCCACAGGUCAGACUCCGUAGACUAGAUAUGCCAACCCCACUCCCUGGCAUUGGACAAAAUGAAAAUUUAAUGUGAGGGUUUGCACAAAAAGUACAAAUAUUGUUUUUUGGAAUUAGUUACUUUUGUAUAAAUUUUUUAAACACAUGAUCUAUAUAUAUUGUAUUAAACUGAACGUGUUAGUUGCAGAUUAGAAUGACCCUUUACAUUUUGUUGCCAGUUAUAGAUAACAGAUAACAGAUACUCACAGCGUUAUUUAAUAAAGUGACGAUUAAAAGUGAAUUUAAAAUAUAAGACAAAAAUCACCGAAUUAGAAAAGAUCUCCAGUUCUGUCUUCAUUUGAAAUUAGCCAUGAAUUGUCACUGUAGUGAAUUAACCCAUUCGGAUAUUGGAAAUAUUAAAGACGGCUUGGGAGAUCGAGCCAGCUAACCUGGACAUAAAAUUGUAC
Molecule: non-coding RNA, 3001 nt
Organism: Pelobates cultripes (western spadefoot toad)
Lineage: Eukaryota; Metazoa; Chordata; Amphibia; Anura; Pelobatidae
Source: the annotation of a GenBank genome assembly